GUCUGCAAAAUCAAGGUUUUAUUUCAGACUUGCACGCUACAUCUCUGCACGUUUCUUUUGUAGUCUGGAAAAUCAAGGUUUCAUUUCAGAAUUGCAGAACAAUGCAAUCUAUUUUCCCAUGUAUCAUGGUAUCUUGGUAUUAGUGGUGAUUCUGGGGUUUUAAAUCAGAACCAUAAGCAUAACUGUUCGAGUUAUUGUCAGUUACUUUUCUUGGACAGAUCAUAAUGUCACCUUCCAGCCAUAAUCCAUUUCAGAACACAACCAACAGGAAAGAACAAGGUAAUUAACAAGAAUCUAAAUAUGCCAUAUAUGCAACAGCAAUGUGGGCAAUCUAAAAACCGUGGGCAAUUACGCAACUGAAGAUCCUAAAGAAGUCAAAAAACAGAGGGAUAGGGAGUGGUAGGCAAAUAUAAAGAUGAGAUUUCCAAGUGCCAGCGACAGGUACCGGAGUUUAAAAAACAGUCAACCCACCUGGUGAAUUUUGAAAACACCUUCUGUGAUACUCCAGCUACUGGACAAACUCGAAGUCACCCAACAGCAGUACAGAGCACCAGCAGGAGGUCAUGUGUUCUAAACUCCCAACAUACGGCUGUCAUGUUUUUGUAUUGCAAAUGUAUAUACGGAAUGCUGAUUUUUUGCAUAAAAUGUAAUUGUAGGUAUGGAUCUAAUUGUUCAGCAAAGCGGGGCAUCUCUGGGGACUACUAUAGCCAGUCGUCACAACUAUUAGGUGGGGUCUCUUUGGUCGGUGUGGACAAUGAGUCCAAAGCUUGAAGGACUAGAGAAUAUAUUCAAACUUUCAUCGCUUCACAUGGAACUAAAAUUUGAUGAGUGGAAGGACCUAACCAUCACCACAUAGCCCAGGGAAGAGUGAAUUAAGAGCAACCUGCAGACAGAUGGAACUCAGGUGCGAGGUCGGACAACAACCAAUCGAGCAGAACUGCGUCAGGGGGAGGGGAGAUUGCCAGUCACGGGCAACGUGGGAAGGGGUGUCCACCAGGAGUAUGCCGUACUUGCGACGCCCAGGAAGGCUCGCGACACAGCCAACCCUCGCAGGUGUCCCGCGAGAGGAGGAGGUCGGCGGUGCGGAGCCAUCUAACACGCGUGUGGUGGCCGUGGCCGCGCCUCCGUCUCCAUCGGCCGGUCAGCGCCUAGCACUGGGUUGCCUUGCGGAAGUGGCGGGAAGGGGGUUGUUGUCGCGGAUGUGGCGGAGGAGGGGAGCCGUCCUCCCGCCGGCGGUGGGGAUGGAGAUGCAAGUGAGGGGGCGUCCGACGACCAUGACGAGAGAGAUAAGAGUGUGGAGUUGGGGCUAGCUAGAGAGUGGAGUUGGGUUCUUUGUGGAGUAAUAAAGGGGAUAUUUUGUCUCCCUCCUGAAAUCAUGAUAUUUGUUAUAUGUUGUAAUGUUAUUUAGAAAUAGGUUAAGUGCA
Lolium perenne is the source of this 1424-nucleotide long non-coding RNA. RefSeq lists it as uncharacterized. NCBI's taxonomy places the organism in Eukaryota, Viridiplantae, Streptophyta, Magnoliopsida, Poales, Poaceae. The record is from RefSeq and is a predicted model, not a curated record.